GGGGUCAGAAAUCCGAAAUGGAUCUCAGCAGGAAAAUCAAGGUGAUCCGAGAGUCCCUGUUCCCUCUCAAGGUUGGGUGUGGGGAAUGUUUGCUUGCAUUGCCCAGCAGUUAGAGGCCACCUGCAUUCCUUGGCUUGUGGCCCCCUCCUCCAUCUUCAAGCCAGCCUUGGCUGGCCAGGUCUUCCACACCCCGAGAGGCCAACUCUCAACUCUGCCCCUCCCGCCUCCCUGUUCCCUGUACGAGGUCCUCUCACGAUGGCACCAGGACCCCCAGAUAAUCCAGGACAGCCAAUUUCCGUGUAAUGCAACAGUCACAGCUUCUACUGAGAUGUGAGCCUCUGCGGAGACUGCGCUUCUGCCUCUGUCUGCCCAAUGGACUGGCGUAGGAUGCUUCUCCCCACAUCCCAGCCCUGAGAACUCCCUGGGCCUCGGUUCCUCCAGCUGUCAGGGACCUGAUUCCACAGGACCACCAGACUCUGACACCUCGGACUGUGUCUCUGCCAGGCGACUGGGUGAGCAUCUCAUUUACGCAGCCCCAUUUUAAGGAAGAGGACUUAUGGUUAAGGCGCCAGGACUGCCGGGUCACCCCACCCAAAUGCAGUGCAGAACCUUUACGACAGCAGCUUUCCCCAGGGGCCACUCGGCCCCCUGCCUGUGGCUCUCCACUGCUUUAUCUGCUAGGAUGCAGAGGCCAACACUUUCCGGGUGGGCGGAGCUCUCGGCUCCCAAAGUUUGAGACCCGGCUCAGCCUCUGGGUGGGGGUGGGGAUCAGGACUACCACCUGGGUGUGUUCACCCGGGAAGGGGGUCAGGCAGGGCAGAGAGAGGUGCUUCUGGAAUAACAGGAUUCGGAUUCAAGAUGGAUCACUACUGUUGUUCCCGGUAGAGCUAAUUAAUGCACGCUGACCUCUUUCCCUGUCCCGGGCAUCUCGCGCCCUGCAGCUGGGAGGAUGUGGGGCGCGGAUGGGGGUGGGCAUGGGACCUGCCAGGGGUCUGCUCGCUCCUCUCCACCACCACCCCCCGUUUGCACACCUGCUUCUUUGCACACCAGGCAGGGGCGCAGAACGAGCGAAGCGCUGCAGGCCAGGCGUAGCGGGGACUGAGGAACCUAGGGGUGGGGUCUUUAAGGGGCCCCUCUGCUACCUCUCCCCGGUUUCCGGCCGCCGGCCGGGCGCUCCCCCCAACCCCCCAUCCUUCUUCCCAAC
RNAcentral lists this long non-coding RNA (1204 nucleotides) under Fukomys damarensis (Damara mole-rat). RNAcentral's name for it is "lncRNA (ENSFDAG00000030192.1)". The record is from RNAcentral. Lineage: Eukaryota; Metazoa; Chordata; Mammalia; Rodentia; Bathyergidae.